RNAcentral lists this unclassified non-coding RNA (372 nucleotides) under fungal sp. RNAcentral's name for it is "partial internal transcribed spacer region". The record is from RNAcentral. Lineage: Eukaryota; Fungi.
AAGUCGUAACAAGGUUUCCGUAGGGCGGAAGGAUCAUUAACACGUAUCCAACGUUACCCCCCCGUGCACCUUCAACAUCUUGUGUCGGGAUUGAUGGUCGGGAAAAAGUAGGAGUUGGUUGUCGGGGAGAACCUCGCGAAUGGUUUGGCACGCGAGAGGGGACCAAUCCUGGUUGCGAUGUAAAACGUGGUCUCCACUUGAACUUGUUUAGUACCUUUGUCCUCUACCGCUUGUCGCCACGAUUUGGAUCUUGAUGCACCCGUUUUCGGAGAACCACCGCUGGAAUAUGUCUCCGAAAGUACCCGCUCGGGGGCUGAGACUUCCAGAGCUGGAAUACCCGAACAACUGUUAACAAUGGAUAUCUUGGCUCUC